This 1243-nucleotide long non-coding RNA is filed under the name Nicotiana tabacum (common tobacco). RNAcentral describes it as "long non-coding RNA (NTAB_LNC012807)". Lineage: Eukaryota; Viridiplantae; Streptophyta; Magnoliopsida; Solanales; Solanaceae. The record is from RNAcentral.
UCUUGCCUCAUCAUUUAAGCUGCAUCAACCUCAAGAUAGAAGAGUCAUAUAAAUCAAUUUUGAAAUUAAAAAAAACUAGCAUAUUAUUCAUUACAUCAUAUUCCAAGUUGAAGGGAAAUACCAAAUACCAACUGACUACUUGAAACAAAGAGAGUUCGGUUUUUCACCCCCACACAGAGGCACAGACUUUACAGCAUCUCCUCUCUAUGGAACCACAAGCGGCAAUUACGUCAAAUAUUGCUCUAAGAUAAAUAGCUCCUGCGAUUCCAUGAUCAAACACAUAUCUUGCUCUGUGAUGUUUUCUCGCUAACAAAAUUAUUUGAUAUCAACUUCUGUUAAUGCUUGGGGCUUUAAAGUUUCUAUUCUGCAUCUUCAGUCCCCUAGAAGCUUCUGUUUUUUGGAUGUGUUCAUGUAAGGCCUUAUGAUCCACUCGGUUUGAGCUUCAUCCUGAUCCAUCGUUCCUAGUUUUAUCUACAGAAAGGAAACAAGUAACUUGAUCAGACACGACAGAUGGAACGCUGAUCAAGACUUGCAGCAAAACCAAAAGCUAUCACAUGAUCCUAACAACAUAGCACGAAAGCUGUACAUUAUGUAAUUGAUAUUCAAUAAAGAGACGGCACAAGCACUUGGAAACAUGCUAUGGAAGAAAAUCAUGCAUCUCGAUGAGGCCAUUAUGUUCGACCAUAUUAUACUUUAAAAUCAUGCAUCUCGAUGAGGCCAUUAUGUUCGACCAUGUUAUACUUUAAAAUGGAGAAAAUGAUCUAUUUAGAAUCAGAAACUGACAGGCACACAAAAGUUGAACUAUACUGUAACAAGUAAAUAGUAUGAAGCGCUACUAUUAUCUUACAUCAAAUCAUAAAAUCAAAUCGGAUCUAAAUUAUAGAACUUUCAGAGAUUAGAGGUUGAUUAUUAUUAUCUGGCACCAAAUCAGAGAGUUGCGAAAAAAGAAAUAUCAAACUGCAGAAAUAUUUCACCACUUCUGUUCAGGAAGAAAGCAGGGUAUGGUCUUUCCUAACUUCCACCCUCCUCCACAGUAUCAAUUUCAGGCGCUGAGUCUUUAAGACCAAAACAAUGCUGUUAACUAAUAUGACAAAUUUCAAAAACAAGAAAAAUCAGAGAUUAAUAAACUCUAUCACUAUAGUCUAGUUACUUGACAUCCAUUAUCAUGAUACAGAUACAAGAACCUGCAGCUUCUUUUUUUAUCAUUCCGAAUUUUUCUAUAAGGAAUAUGUAGAUAUGAAAG